GCGGGAGUGGCGAAACUGGCAGACGCAAUGGCCUUAGGAGCCAUUGGCCGCAAGGCCGUGCAGGUUCAACUCCUGUCUCCCGCACCA
This 87-nucleotide transfer RNA is filed under the name Acidobacteriota bacterium. RNAcentral describes it as "Acidobacteria bacterium tRNA-Leu". It matches the Rfam family "tRNA". From Rfam's summary of the family: Transfer RNA (tRNA) molecules are approximately 80 nucleotides in length. Lineage: Bacteria; Pseudomonadati; Acidobacteriota. The record is from RNAcentral.